CAGCAGCCGCGGGAAUACGAAGGGGGCUAGCGUUGCUCGGAAUGACUGGGCGUAAAGGGCGCGUAGGCGGCGGCCAAAGUCAGGCGUGAAAUUCCCGGGCUCAACCUGGGGGCUGCGUUUGAUACUUGGUUGCUUGAGUGGGGAAGAGGGUCGUGGAAUUCCCAGUGUAGAGGUGAAAUUCGUAGAUAUUGGGAAGAACACCGGUGGCGAAGGCGGCGACCUGGUCCUUUACUGACGCUGAGGCGCGAAAGCGUGGGGAGCAAACAGGAUUAGAUACCCGCGUAGUCCCUGUCUCUUAUAC
This 301-nucleotide ribosomal RNA is filed under the name uncultured bacterium. RNAcentral describes it as "partial 16S ribosomal RNA". It matches the Rfam family "Bacterial small subunit ribosomal RNA", at positions 509 to 807 of the family's 1533-position model. The record is from RNAcentral.